AGAAUUAGAGAUCUUUCGACCGUUUGGUCUCGUAAAACCCAGAAAUCACCACCGACUUAAGAGAAACCGAAGACUCUCUCUUCGACGCAACGGUCCGAUUUCGUUUGUUGAAAUUCAAAACAAGGCUUUUCUGGAUUUCGUGUGUUCUCUCUCGAACGAUCAAUCUAGAAGAUCGUCGAUGAAGCAAAAGACGGAGGAGGACGAAGAGGAACUCGAAAUUGAAGCCUAACAUGUUGAUGGAUAAAACUAAUGGUUGCUUUCAAGGGAGUGAUCCCAAUCCAUAUAUGAUAAGGGCUCUACAUAUCUUUACCCUCUUAAUUUGGCUCAUCCUUGUUUUCUUUAGUAAACAGUUUAGAAGAACUUUUUAGAUGAUUGAUUUUGCUUUAAGUAUGUUAUAACAAGUUUUAUGUAUGUUAUCUUCAGCUAUCAAAUAACUUUAUUAAGUGUAGAGAGAAAAUCAUGUCUCUAUCUCAGGUCUAUCUAGAGGUGUAUUUCUAGUAAAUUUUUCUGUAAUUUGUUUUCUUUUCUGAUGAUCAUCUGUUUUACAGGUUUAUAGUAAAUUUUUCUGUAAUGAAGGUUCAUUUCUUACCUGAUUGUUCAGAAUAAGGUUCUGUUAAUUCAAAAGCCCUCUGUUAUAUACAAGUUUUUGGUUUUGGAAUCCAUAUUUCCUUAACCUUACAUGGAACUUGGUGUAGAUACAUUAACUGGCUAUAGUCAUUUUUGAAUUUUUUCAAUGUGCCUUUUUAAUCAAUCGCAAUCAUUAAGUUCUCUUCUGUUUAAUCUGUUAAAUAAUCGCAGUGUAAUAGUUGUUUGUGUUGCUUGGCUAAGACAGUGGCAGUGGCACCAUUUCUGUUAAACUACAAUGGAGCAUGUUUUCGACAAUAUCCUGGACCAUGAAGAUCUGCUUGAGAGUUAGUUCAUUUCUUGCCUCAUUGCUUGAUAGAAGUUGUUGGCCAUACGUUUUAACACCCAAUACAAGACUACUUAGACACGCCCUUGAAUUGGCCGGUGGAGUUCUUGAGGCUACCGAGAGAGAUAAUAGAGCUAUGGCACGUGUGUAAGGUCUCUGUGACCCACAUAAGUCACUUGUACUUAGAGGUAGAAGUUUUGUAGACUUGAGUACCUCAGAGAAUCUUUUGCACAAAAUUGCAACAAUGGACACAAUCUGGCCUUGAUCUCCAGUUUUUCGCAGAUUUCACUCAAACUUCUCGAAUCAAGUAACUAUAUAACCAGACAUCAAGCUAUUUAGAUUUAACUCAGAUGGAAUUUACGAACACCUUGACUCAGUUGAUAGGAUCAUGGGAAUGGCUUUCAAAGCAUUAUAAAAUCUCUCAAGGAAGCCGAAGCUCUGGUUGGAGUUUACAGAGACGUCGAGACGAGGAAGCUAAAGGACCGCUUGAAGCCUACACGACUCGUAUCUGCCUACCUAAUCUUUGCAAACAAGAGGAGCAUUUUGGAGAGGUUGCAAAGAUGAACAAAGAAGAGUGGAAGAACUUGCGUGCGGAAGGAAGGCUCCCUUAGAAAAGGAGAUAUAUAUGCGGAAGGAUAUAAAAGGCUGAAGGCAGAAGAAGCCAUGAGCCAGAAGAAGAGGAUAAAGAAGCUCUCCAAGUUCUCAAGAAAGAGAACAUUGUUGCUUGCUCUGCUGAUAAUUCUCAGGAAAUGAUUUUCAGUAUACUACGAUCAACGAGAAGAUGGUGACAAGAACAUUGUUACUUGCUCUACUGAAUCCCUUGUUAAUCAAGGUCAAUAGUCAGGAUAUACAUAAAAUGAUAAAGAGUAAAAAGAACUACAACUUUCAGUAAAGACAUCGGAAGUCGAAGCAAUCUACAGUCUAUCACCAACCAUAUGGCCAAGGUUAUAAAUGAACUGGAUCUUGUUAACUUCGCACAAUGUUUACCAAGGUAUCAGCUCCUGCUUGAUGAUUCUUCCCUUGUGUGGAUAAUAUGGUGGGAUUUGUUUUGCUGCCAAUACAACCAGAGGAACAUUUUGGAGGUUGCGAAGAUGAACGAAGAAGAGUGGAAGAACUUGUCUGCGGAACAAAAGGCUCCCUAAGAAAAGGUGGUUUUAUGGAAGGAUAUAGAAGGCUGAAGGUAGAAGAAGCCAUGCGCGAGGAGAAAAGGAUAAAGAAGCUCUCAAAAUUCUCAAAAAAAAAGAAAACCAACAAUGUCACUAAGGAAACCUUUGCUAGUUAAAUCUUGAGGUUUGUUGUUCCAGGACCAUGAAGAUUUGCUUGGGAGUUGGUUCAUUUCUUACCUGGUUGUUCAGAAUAAGGGCCAUGAAGAUCAAGAUCUGCUUGGGAGUUAGUUCAGGAACAUGAAGCUCUCUGUUAUAUAGAAGUUUGUGUUUUGGAAUCCAACUUUUCUUAACUUAACAUGGGACUUGGUUUAGAUACUUUCAUUGGCUAUAGUCAUUUUUGAUUUUUUCAAUGUGCCUUCUUAAUCAAUCGAAAUCUGUAAGUUGUUGGUCUCUUCUUGCAGGGAACCUUUGCUAGUUCAACCCCAGCUCUUCUGUUUUAAUCUUGAGCUAUAGCCAGCUUAAACAGAAACCUCAAUUUUUUCCCUAACUCGAGCUCUCUCGGUUUCCUCACUUCUGGAUGUGAUUUUCUAAGCAGAUCUUUCUUGGCUGUUUGGAUAAAUGACGCAGCGUAAUAGUUGUUCGUGUUGCUUGGAUAAGACCGUGGCAAUGGCACCGUUUGUGUUGAAAUACAACCAAGCGCGUUUUCCGAAAUAUCCAGAAUCCCUUGUUAAUCAAGUUCAAUAGCCAUGAUAUCUCAAGGUAGAGGACACCAAGGGGAUUCAAGAAUUUUUGUUAAUAACAGGGGUCAUGAUAGAGUUAAAAGUAUUACAACUUUCGGUAAAGACAUCGGAAGUCGAAACAACCUACUGUCUACCACCAACCAUUUGGCAAAGGCUAUAAAUGAACUAGAUCUUGCUAAUUGCGCACAAUGUUCACCAAGUUAUCAGCUCCUGCCAGAUGAUUUCGAGGUGUAAGGAUCAAUCAUUCCAACAAAAGGGUAAAAACCAGUACGAAGAAAGCUUGUUUCAUGUGUGGAUGAUAGGUAUGAAGAAAGAUUGUUUCAUGUCAGGAUAUAGUCUUCCCUUGUGUGGAUAAUAUGGUGGAUGAUGAUUUUUGCGGAUGGAUAAAACUAAUGGUUGCUUGCAAGGGAGUGAGCCCAGUCCAUAUUUGGUUUGUUGUUACAGGACCAUGGAGAUCUGCUUGGGAUUUGGUUCUUACCUGAUUGUUCUAAAUAAAGAAACCUCGAUUUUUUCCAUAACUCAAGCUCUCUCGGUUUCCUCACUUCUGGUAACAUCUGGACUUUAGUGCAGUGGUGACCUAAAGAAGCUUUGGUUGGAGUUUUUAGAGACCUCGGGACUAGAGACGAGCUAAAGGAUCCCUUGAAGACUUAACAACCCAUAUCUGCCUACGUAAUCUAUGCUAACGAGAGAAGAGUGCUGCUUUACAAGAAGAUAAUCAAUUUUUGUGGUAAGUAAUGUAAAAUGGAAUUAUUAUAAUCUCUCAAGGACAGCGAGCUAUAACAAUCCCAAAGCUCUGGUUGGAGUUAUAGAGACAUCGAGACGAGGAAGCUAAAGGAAUCCAUAUUUUAAUAGUAAUAAAAUUGAUAGCAUUAUCAUUUACCAACACAUUAAGGACCGGCUUGACGCAGAUCAUGGGACCAAGGAAGCUAAAGGAUCUCUUGAAGACUUAACAACCCGUAUCUGCCUACGUAAUCUAUGGUAACGAGAUUAUUAUAUUUACGAGAAGAUAAACAAUUUUUGAGGUAAGUGAUGUAAAAUGCAAUUAUUAUAGUCUCUUGUCUUACUGUUAUUUGAACUCUUGAAGAAGCUCUCCAAAUUCUCAAAAAGAGAAAACCGAGAAUGUCACUAAGGUUAGUAUCUUACGCUUGACAUAAUUGUGUCUUUUGCUGUUCUUACCAAUGGGUAAUAUAAUGUUGAAUGUGGAUUGUGAUCAUUACUUCAACAACAAUAAAUGAGGUCGUUUUUUCUCCACUUGAGCAAAUGUCUUUGUAAAUUUUGGCUCAACAUUAUAUGCAUGCAGACUUGGUAGCUGGACUAGAGAAGGAUAAAGCACUAGUCUCUACUCAUUCUGCAUUAGAUUUGUUCGUCUCAAUAAGAUUCUUUUUACCCAACAAAACAAGGUUUUUUUUUUAAUCUAGAAUUAUUUGUUCUCGGUGGACGACUCUUAAUGCAUAAGAGAAAAAGCCUUAAGGGGAGAAGUACAAGGCAGAGAAGGAAGCUUAUCUCAAGGUUAUUACAAAGGAGAAGUGAUAGAAAGAAGCUAUGAAACUUCUGGAAGAUGAGCAAAUGCAGGAAACUACGAUGGAGCUGCACAUAAAUUGUUCCAAAUAUGUCUUGGAGUCUGAGCAUGUGAAGCAGUUCUUUGAUUACAUACAGCUUCCUAUUUUCAACCAAAACAGAAAAGCAAACUCUUAAAAACUCGUCCACGCUAGUACUUAUCACUCCCUCUCAUUAAAAGCCUUUCUCUUGGCAGGUGGCAUACAGAGAGAGAUUCACAACCGUUAAGAGACAUGAAGCUAACUAGGAAGUCGAAGUUGUGGAGCAGACUUUGUCAAAUCAGCUGAGAGAAGUCUGGCAACACAUCAAGAAUGAAAAGUUGUUCCAGGGAGAAGGAUGCCAACAACUUGGUUCAAAUGGCGGAUGCUACGCCAGAAAAGUGGUAGAGCUUCAAUAAGCCAGAACUGAACAGAGAAGACUGCUGCUGAAAAUGACAAGCAAAUUAUUUAUCGCUGGGUUAGUUUUGAUUUACUUGGUUCAACCAGAAUAUGCUUUCGUAAAUCACCUAAGUCCUUGUCAUAUAACUGUCAUGUAGGAAAUGGAAUAGAAGUUGUUGGCCAUACGUUUUAACACCCAAUAUAAGACUACUUAGACACGCUCUUGAAUUGGCCGGUGGAGUUCUUGAGGCUACCGAGAUAGAUAAUAGAGCUAUGGCACGUGUGUAAGGUCUCUGUGACCCACAUAAGUCACUUGUUCUUAGAGGUAGAAGUUUUGUAGACUUGAGUACCUCAGAGAAUCUUUUGCACAAAAUUGCAACAAUGGACACAAUCUGGCCUUGAUCUCCAGUUUUUCGCAGAUUUCACUCAAACUUCUCGAAUCAAGUAACUAUAUAACCAGACAUCAAGCUAUUUAGAUUUAACUCAGAUGGAAUUUACGAACACCUUGACUCAGUUGAUAGGAUCAUGGGAAUGGCUUUCAAAGCAUUAUAAAAUCUCUCAAGGAAGCCGAAGCUCUGGUUGGAGUUUACAGAGACGUCGAGACGAGGAAGCUAAAGGACCGCUUGAAGCCUACACGACUCGUAUCUGCCUACCUAAUCUUUGCAAACAAGAGGAGCAUUUUGGAGAGGUUGCAAAGAUGAACAAAGAAGAGUGGAAGAACUUGCGUGCGGAAGGAAGGCUCCCUUAGAAAAGGAGAUAUAUAUGCGGAAGGAUAUAAAAGGCUGAAGGCAGAAGAAGCCAUGAGCCAGAAGAAGAGGAUAAAGAAGCUCUCCAAGUUCUCAAGAAAGAGAACAUUGUUGCUUGCUCUGCUGAUAAUUCUCAGGAAAUGAUUUUCAGUAUACUACGAUCAACGAGAAGAUGGUGACAAGAACAUUGUUACUUGCUCUACUGAAUCCCUUGUUAAUCAAGGUCAAUAGUCAGGAUAUACAUAAAAUGAUAAAGAGUAAAAAGAACUACAACUUUCAGUAAAGACAUCGGAAGUCGAAGCAAUCUACAGUCUAUCACCAACCAUAUGGCCAAGGUUAUAAAUGAACUGGAUCUUGUUAACUUCGCACAAUGUUUACCAAGGUAUCAGCUCCUGCUUGAUGAUUCUUCCCUUGUGUGGAUAAUAUGGUGGGAUUUGUUUUGCUGCCAAUACAACCAGAGGAACAUUUUGGAGGUUGCGAAGAUGAACGAAGAAGAGUGGAAGAACUUGUCUGCGGAACAAAAGGCUCCCUAAGAAAAGGUGGUUAUAUGGAAGGAUAUAGAAGGCUGAAGGUAGAAGAAGCCAUGCGCGAGGAGAAAAGGAUAAAGAAGCUCUCAGAAUUCUCAAAAAAAAGAAAACCAACAAUGUCACUAAGGAAGCUAAAGGAUCCCUUGAAGACUUAACAACCCGUAUCUGCCUACGCAAUCUAUGGUAACGAGAGACGAGUGCUGCUUUACGAGAUGAUAAGCAAUUUUUGAGUUUGCGAAGAUGAACGAAGAAGACUGGAAGAACAUGUCUGCAGAACAAAAGGCUCCCUAGGAAAAGGAUAUAAUAGACUGAAGGUCGAAGAAGCCAUGAGCGAGAAGAAGAGGAUAAAGAAGCUCUCCAAAUUCUCAAAAAGAGAAAACCGAGAAUGUCACUAAGACUUGGUAGCUGGACUAGAGAAGGAAUUAUUUGUUCUCGGUGGACGACUCUUAAUGCAUAAGAGAAAAAGCCUUAAGGGGAGAAGUACAAGGCAGAGAAGGAAGCUUAUCUCAAGGUUAUUACAAAGGAGAAGUACAAUGGAGCUGCACUUAAAUUGUUCCAAAUAUGUCUUGGAGUCUGAGAAUGUGAAGAAGUUCUUUGAUUACAUACAGCUUCCUAUUUUCAACCAAAACAGAAAAGCAAACUCUUAAAAACUCCUUCACGCUAGUACUUAUCACUCCCUCUCAUGAAAAGCCUUUCUCUUGGCAGAAAAGCAAAUUCUCAUGUAUCAGUUUGAUACAUAUAUGUGGCAUACGGAGAGAGAUUCGCAACCGUUAAGAGACUUGAAGCUAACUAGAAGUCGAAGUUGUGGAGCAGAAUUUGUCAAAUCAUCUGAGAGAAGUCUGGCAACACAUCAAGAAUGAAAGGUUGUUGCAGGGAGAAGGAUGCCAACAACUUGGUUCAAAUGGCGGAUGCUACUCUAGAAAAGUGUAGAGCAUCAAUAAGUCAGAACAGAACAGAGAAGACUGCUGCUUAAAAAGACAAGCAAAUCAAUUAUCAUUGGGAAAUGGAAUAGAAGCUCUUGGCCUUAGUUUCAACACCCAAUACAAGACUACUUAGACACGCCCUUGAAUUGGCCGGUGGAGUUCAUGAGGCUAGAAGUUCAUCGAAUCUUUUGCCAAAAAUUGCAACAAUGGACACAGUUUGGCCUUAAUCUCCAGUAGUGUCACUUAUACGAGAGUCUGGGAAUCUUAUAAGGUUGAGAUCUCAUUUCUAAGAACAUGGUAUCCAUCCCUUGAGGGAAAGUAUAUUCCCUUGAAGAUUGACAAAAGAUCUAUCUUGCGUUAUGUAUUUCCGGAGAGCAAAGACAUUGACUAUUUCUCUUUCUUUAAAAGGCUUAUAAUAUGCUCAUUUACUCUUUUAGAGUUUAUUCAUAUGGAACUUACGAACAUUUUAAGGACUGGCCUGACUCAAUUGAUGGGAAUGGCUUCCAAAUCAUGGUAAAAUCUUUCAGGCACAGCUUCUAUAACAAUGCCGGAGCUUUGGUUGGAGUUUACAGAGACGAGGAAGCUAAAGGACCGCUUGAAGCCUACAUAAUUCAUAUCUGCCUACCUAAUCUAUGCAAACAAGAGGAGCAUUUUGGAGAUGAAUUGUGAGUACAUGUUGCGAAGAUGAACGAGAAGAGAGGAAGAACUUUCAUGCCGUACGAAAGGCUCCCUAAGCAAAGGUCAUGUCCCAUAUCAAUCGUGUAAAGCAAUGAAAAGUUCAUAAAACAAAAUUUCUAACUUGUUUGCAUAUUAUUGAACAAGGAGAUAUAUAUGGAAGGAUAUAAAAAGCUGAAGGCAGAAGAAGCCAUGAGCGUGAAGAAGAUGAUAAAGAAGCUCUCCAAGCUCUCAUGGAAGAGAAAUCAACAAUGUCAUUAAGAAAGAAACGAGAAAGACAAAUGUAGCUCCAUAUUAGAUUCAAUGACCAAUCUCAAAUCUCUGCAACAAUCUAGAAGAUGAUGGUACUCUUUUCCGUUGAAGAUCGAUGACAAGGAAAAGACAGAGGAGGAGGAACUCGAAACGCUUAAAAAACUACAAGUCGUGAAGGAACUGAAACCUAACAUCUUCGUUUCUCAAGGGUCACAAUUUAAGCUACCAAAUAAGUCUUGCAAGGGAGCGAUCCCAAUCCAGAUGUAAUAAGAUACUUUGCUGGAAAUUUCACUUCACUGAUCUGGAUUCUUUCGAUCUCAUUAGCUGCUGUCAACCCUGGUGAUGGUAAGAACCUUUUUUCCUUGAAGAUCUCAAGAAAAGCUACAAUUUUUGCUUCUAGAUUACAUUUUGUCUCACUGAAUUUAGAGUGAGAUCUGUGCAUAUUGGUUGAGGAUUUUUAGAUUUUCUUCAGAGAUAACAACAACUCUGAGUUAUCUCAUCUAUCAUUGAAUCUUUCUGUUAAAUUCUAUUUUGAACGGUCACGAACUGUAAAUGCUGCAAGGAGAGCUUGGUGACAACUUAGCUAAGUUCACUUCUAUCAGGGGAAUAGAUUUCAGCAACAAUCGCAUUGGAGGAAGCAUACCUCUUAAUUUGUCGGUUACAUUGCAGCAUUUGUAUGUAUGUAUACACUUAACAAUGUAUUUUUUAUAGGGUUUGUUGCUUUGAACAGUUAGUAUGUAUACAGCCAAUCAGUUCACCGGAAGCAUCCCGGAAUCUAUAGGAAUAUUUAGUUUUCUAAAUGACAUGUCUUUGAAUAAAAACCUUCUCUCGGGAAAGCUACCUGACGUGUUUCAAAACCUUGUCUGGUUGAUUAAUCUGUAUGAUUCUUCUUGUUUAUAGUUUGUUUUCUUUCGGGUAAUCAGUUCACCGGAAGCAUCCCAUAAUCGCUAGGAACAUUUAGUUUUCUGAAUGACAUUCUUUGAACGAUAACCUUCUCUCAGUAGAGCUACCUGACGAGUUUCAAAACAUUCUCGGGCUGAUUAAUCUUGAUAUAUCAUCUAACAAUCUAAGCGGCACAUUUGCUCCUUCAAUGGAGAAUUUAUCAACUCUUACAACAUUACGUGUUCAGAACAACCAGCUCUCACGAAAUCUGGACGUUCUUAAAGGGCUAAUGUAAUGCCCCUCACCUAGACUAUGACUAGGCCGGGUGGAGGCUAACACCAAAAGAUGAAUCAGAGCCAAAAGACCAUAAGGGAAUCGAAUGGAGCUAAGUAAAGACUUGUCCUAGAAAAGUUAGGGAAAGCAUCGAGGAAGCUUGAAGGAAGAGAUAGCAAGAUCGUUAGGAUUAUAAGGAGAAACUCUCGUCGGAAACUCAAAAAGGCCAUCACCGAAAGGUAAGGUGGUUGGACUUAUCAUACUUGGGCAAAGUAAAGGAUGUGUAUUGAGAAUAAAUGGUUUUUGGGCGAGGGAUAUAAAAGUUGGGCGAGAGAAAAUGAGUUUGGGACGAAGGAAUGCAUAAUUGGCCAAAACGGACGACCCGCGGACGAUGCAUAAUCGAUCUGCGGUGAGCGACGGACCAUCCGGUACGAUUUAUGUACGGCCUGCGGACGUGUGCUCGUCCUAUACGGACGUGUGCUUGGACCGUGAGGACGUGUGCAUGGACUGUGAGGACGUGUGCUCGGACUGUGCGGACGUGUGCUCUGCUCCGUGUCCGUUCAAGGCAACGACACGCCUGCUGCCUGCCUGCCUGCUUCACCAGAAGCUGCUGGGUGUCGCCACCGGAAGCGGUGACUCAGCGACACAUGUCGCCAGCGGAGGCAUGACCAGUGGCGAGGUGGUUGCGCAGCAGCUUAGAAACCGACUUAGUAACCCUAUAUAAACUCUCGUCGUUCAUUUGAAAUUCUCAACCAAAAAUAACAAAUGACCUUAGUAUUGUUGAGAAGAAGUUCCGAGAAAAAUUCCGAGAAAAGUUCUGAUUCCGAAAGUUGAUAACUGCUUAAGAUGAGUGAGAUACCUAUGAAACCAAGGAGUAGUAGAAUGAGUCGUUUCCCGAGAAUGCGUGGAUCUCCGGUAAGUUCCGGACAUGUGUCGUAGCACAUGUUUAGGUGUUUAUUCAUUCAAAUUAAUUAUGAAAUUACUAAUAGAGGUUAAUGUAAUCAUACUUAGUGAUAUCUGUGAUUGUUUGACUUGUUGAGUUAUAAUGUUAAUGCAUGAUGUUCAUUUUUA
Molecule: long non-coding RNA, 10039 nt
Organism: Arabidopsis lyrata subsp. lyrata
Lineage: Eukaryota; Viridiplantae; Streptophyta; Magnoliopsida; Brassicales; Brassicaceae
Exons: 59
Source: RefSeq, a predicted model, not a curated record